This 223-nucleotide ribosomal RNA is filed under the name uncultured bacterium. RNAcentral's name for it is "partial 16S ribosomal RNA". It matches the Rfam family "Bacterial small subunit ribosomal RNA", at positions 419 to 640 of the family's 1533-position model. The record is from RNAcentral.
UAAAAAAAAAACUGCUUUUAUGUGGGGAUAAAGUGAGCUACGUGUAGUUUAUUGCAGGUACCACAUGAAUAAGGACCGGCUAAUUCCGUGCCAGCAGCCGCGGUAAUACGGAAGGUCCAGGCGUUAUCCGGAUUUAUUGUGUUUAAAGUGAGCGUAUGCCGUGGAUUAAGCGUGUUGUGUCAUGUAGACGCUCAACGUCUGAAUUGCAGCGCGAACUGGUUCA